GGCUUAGUCAGUAAAGUGCUUGCCUCUUAACCAAGUGGACCUGGGUUCAAUCCCCAG
This 57-nucleotide transfer RNA is filed under the name Cricetulus griseus (Chinese hamster). It matches the Rfam family "tRNA", at positions 9 to 63 of the family's 71-position model. From Rfam's summary of the family: Transfer RNA (tRNA) molecules are approximately 80 nucleotides in length. Their secondary structure includes four short double-helical elements and three loops (D, anti-codon, and T loops). The record is from Rfam by way of RNAcentral. Lineage: Eukaryota; Metazoa; Chordata; Mammalia; Rodentia; Cricetidae.